UAACAAGGAUUCCCCUAGUAACUGCGAGUGAAGCGGGAAAAGCUCAAAUUUAAAAUCUGGCAGCCUAUGGUUGUCCGAGUUGUAAUCUGGAGAAGUGUUUUCCGUGCUGGACCGUGUACAAGUCUCUUGGAACAGAGCGUCAUAGAGGGUGAGAAUCCCGUCUUUGACACGGACUACCAGUGCUUUGUGAUGCGCUCUCAAAGAGUCGAGUUGUUUGGGAAUGCAGCUCAAAAUGGGUGGUGAAUUCCAUCUAAAGCUAAAUAUUGGCGAGAGACCGAUAGCGAACAAGUACCGUGAGGGAAAGAUGAAAAGCACUUUGGAAAGAGAGUUAAACAGUACGUGAAAUUGCUGAAAGGGAAACGCUUGAAGUCAGUCGCAUUGUUCGGAACUCAGCCUUGCGUUUGCUUGGUGCAUUUUCUGAAUGAUGGGCCAGCAUCAAUUUUGACUGUUGGAAAAAGGCUGGAGUAAUGUGGCACCUUCUGGGUGUGUUAUAGACUCUGGUUGCAUACAGCAGUUGGGAUUGAGGACCGCAGCACGCCGCAAGGCAGGGGUGAGUAAUUGCCCACUUUCGUGCUUAGGAUGCUGGCAUAAUGGCUUUAAACGAC
This 605-nucleotide ribosomal RNA is filed under the name Haploporus papyraceus. Its description in RNAcentral is "eukaryotic LSU rRNA". It matches the Rfam family "Eukaryotic large subunit ribosomal RNA", at positions 66 to 648 of the family's 3401-position model. Lineage: Eukaryota; Fungi; Basidiomycota; Agaricomycetes; Polyporales; Polyporaceae. The record is from RNAcentral.